RNAcentral lists this ribosomal RNA (253 nucleotides) under Escherichia coli. RNAcentral describes it as "partial 16S ribosomal RNA". It matches the Rfam family "Bacterial small subunit ribosomal RNA", at positions 1 to 250 of the family's 1533-position model. The record is from RNAcentral. Lineage: Bacteria; Pseudomonadati; Pseudomonadota; Gammaproteobacteria; Enterobacterales; Enterobacteriaceae.
AAAUUGAAGAGUUUGAUCAUGGCUCAGAUUGAACGCUGGCGGCAGGCCUAACACAUGCAAGUCGAACGGUAACAGGAAGCAGCUUGCUGCUUUGCUGACGAGUGGCGGACGGGUGAGUAAUGUCUGGGAAACUGCCUGAUGGAGGGGGAUAACUACUGGAAACGGUAGCUAAUACCGCAUAAUGUCGCAAGACCAAAGAGGGGGACCUUCGGGCCUCUUGCCAUCGGAUGUGCCCAGAUGGGAUUAGCUAGUA